GACGAACGCUGGCGGCGUGCUUAACACAUGCAAGUCGAACGGAAAGGCCCUGCUUUUGUGGUGUGCUCGAGUGGCGAACGGGUGAGUAACACGUGAGUAACCUGCCCUUGACUUUGGGAUAACUUCAGGAAACUGGGGCUAAUACCGGAUAGGAGCUCCUGCUGCAUGGUGGGGGUUGGAAAGUUUCGGCGGUUGGGGAUGGACUCGCGGCUUAUCAGCUUGUUGGUGGGGUAGUGGCUUACCAAGGCUUUGACGGGUAGCCGGCCUGAGAGGAUGACCAGCCACAUUGGGACUGAGAUACGGCCCAGACUCAUACGGGAGGCAGCAGUGGGGAAUAUUGCACAAUGGGCGGAAGCCUGAUGCAGCAACGCCGCGUGCGGGAUAACGGCCUUCGGGUUGUAAACCGCUUUCGCCUGUGACGAAGCAUGAGUGACGGUAAUGGGUAAAGAAGCACCGGCUAACUACGUG
RNAcentral lists this ribosomal RNA (468 nucleotides) under uncultured bacterium. Its description in RNAcentral is "partial 16S ribosomal RNA". It matches the Rfam family "Bacterial small subunit ribosomal RNA", at positions 28 to 507 of the family's 1533-position model. The record is from RNAcentral.